GGCACUGGCACCCCAGCUCCUGUGAGCCGUCCUCUGGGGGCCAGAGUGCUCAGCAGAGAGCAGGGAUAACUGCCCCGGCUGGUUCUGCUGAGCUGCCAAGCGGGUCCAGCUGCCCCUCCAUGGCUACAUGCAGCUGUGGGGUUCGCUUUCUCCCCAAUUCCAAGGUGGACCAGAGUCCAGCCUGCUCUGGUGCCAGUGCCUGGUGCCCAUCACCAGGGGAGUGAGGACCAACGGGUUUCCCUGGCCAGAUACCUGCGGUGCGGUGCAGGCCCUCUGCCCUGCCAGGAGGGAGGUGGGCACCUGGGACUCCAGGCCCUAGGGCUCCAGAUGGAAACACUAAGGUGCCCAGGGAUUAGCAAUCUGCACAGCUUGAAAGUGGCUGAGUGGGGACCGAGCCCAGGCUUUGAGCUGAAGUCAUUUUGCUACAGACCCAGGGUAAUGACCUCUUUGAAGAAAGUGUGUGGAGGUUUCAGUCCAUCUCAGCUGGCUCCAAGGCAGGGUGGCCUGGCACAGGGGCAACGGUUCAAGGUGGCAGAGGACAGCAAAAGCGGCAAGAGCAAAAUGGCUGAGAUGUUUGCAAAGUGAGGACCUUGGGCCCCUGCUGAGUCUUAAAUUUCUAAAUCUCUCAAGCUGGCACAGUGUAAUGCUCCUGCCCUGCUGACUGGCAAGGAGUGGGGAGAGAAUGGGAUCAGGACCCAACCUCUGAAAUCUCCACCUGGGGAGUGCCCUGGCCUGGCGGAGGCUGGCAUGGCUGGCUCUGUCCCCAAGGCUGCCUCUCAUGGCCCGCGGCUCACUCACUCGGGGCCAGGCUGCUCUGGGAUGAGGUGCUCAGCCCAUUAGGCUCUCAUCCUGCCUGCCUGGCUUUGUCCCGCUGGACUGUGGAGCUGUGGCUGGGGACUGUCCAGGAGCUGCAUCUCUGAGGACACAGACCUGGAAACCCAAUACUCCUGGGCAAGGGCGGCACCCAGGUCCACUGGGCUCUACUGCUACUGAGGUUCUUGGGACAGCGAAUCACAGAAGGGUCAGUGUGCUGCAUAGACACAAGUACAAGGCCACCAGACUUGUAGCAACUGGUCCUCUAGGGACACAGGACCAGGAGCCCCCUUCUCAGGGAGACACUCUUGGGUGGGCCAGCUCUACCAUGUUCCUAGUCCUCAGCAGAGUACCUCACUCAUUCAUUCAUCAGCUCUUCAGAAGGAACUAAAGGCUCUUACAUGUAAACAUCUGGCUGAAAAAUGUUCCAGACAAGGGGGUAACAACAUGUGCAAAGGUCCUGUUGUAGUGGGGGUAACCAGGAAGUCCGUGCAGGGAGCCAGAAGAAGAGUAGCCAGGGUUGAGAUUAUAUAGAAGGUUAUAGACUACACACAGAAAUAUAGGCAUAUUCUGAGAGAUGAGGUGGGCUUUAUAUGAUUUUGAUUUGAUAUUUUUAAAGAAUUCCUCUGGUUGCUGGGCAUGCUGAGGUACACCUAUAAUCCCAGCACCCAGGAGGCUGAGGCAGGAGGAUCACUGUGAGUUUGAGGCCAGCCUGGGCUACAUAUGUGAGUUCAAGGACAGCCUGAAUUACAGAGGGAGAAAAAACCAACAAACCAACAAACAAACAAUAAAAGGAAUUCCUUUGGCCGACAAAGGAUGGACUGUCCAGGGAGGCCAGGGAGGAGGCAACUGCCACUGUCCAGCAUGAGAUGAUGGAUUCUUGAGUCACCAUAUGCACAGCAGAAGAGAGAGAGGCAACUGUGUUGUGGCCUUUAUGUAGCAGCUGAGGGAUAGAUGUGGGGGAACAGGGUGAGGAGAAGCCUCAGGGCAGGUGCCGAGACCUGUGCUCCUCCCUGGGGUGCCCAUGCUCCUCCCUGGGGUGCAGUGUCUUUUGCUAUGGGACUGACAGGCUAGGCUGGGAGCCCUGGGGCACCAGUGACGUCCUGCACCCUGUGAGGCGACACAUUCUUGGUGCCUGGGGCCUCUAACCAUCUGGAGAAAGGUCUUGAAACCCUAACCUGUGAUUUAAAACCCAAACACACAUCCUUCCUGCUGCACCCCAGCUCUGCAUUUGCCUGGGGCCGAGUGAGCUUUCUCUUAAAGACCCACCUGGAUUUUAUUCUGGGGCAAGGAUGGGCGUCCCCCACCAUUAAAGGAUAAAUGGAUGUAGAGGGCCCCGGGCCCAGGAGCAGCUUGACGGGCUGCCACCUGUCCAGACGAGCCUGGCAGAGAGCCCCACGUCUGCUAAAGAGAGUCAGGAGGGAGAUCAGUUGCAGGAAGGAAAUUACUGAGUCUUCAAACCCUGUCAACUGGGAGAAAAAGGGACGGACUUUUAUGGACACGUAGUUUGUCCCCAGGAGACAGAACAUCUUCAAACCUGUCUUCACCAGCAUCGAGGUACUGUGGUGUUGUCUAACAGAGCAGUUUAUAGCUGAGUGAUGAAUCUCUUAAAAACAACAAUAAAAACGAAACUGAUUUUCACCUACCUCGCUCCACUUUCUAAAAUAACUGCAAAGCAAACAAACAAACAACCCAACCACAUUCAUGAUAACAAGGAAAUUUGCAAAGCACCUCUCAGCACAGAGUCCUGGAUUCGGGGACAGAGCAGCAAGUAUGACCCUGUGGCUGCUGGGGACCUGCACGGGGCACCGGGCUGUAGCAGAUCAGCGAGGAGAAAGCCCCGGACACAGAGAGUGCGGUUGCUGGUGCUGUGGGUUGAGGUCGGCUGGUGGGAGAGAUUGUGUGUGGGGGUUUGCUGCUUUAGGCUGCUGGGACCUGGACACUCGUGAAUCCGGGUCUAGGUGAAGCAGCGUGUGAGGGUCAGCAGCUCAUCACCAGCCCUCCUGCUCUGCCGUCAGCUGUUAGGGUUUUAUUUCCUCUUGGUCACAACGUGGCUGCCGCCAGUGACAGAAACCACACAUCUCUUGGCCUUAAGAGACAAAAUUCUUCUUUCUGUGAUUUCUCUUUAACACAACGGGCCAUCAUUGGCCAUUCGGCCACUCCUGGACCACUGAGAGCCCCAGGGGCUGUGGAGUGCUAAUAUUGUUGGCUCCCCAGGGUGACCCAGAGCUGAGGACCAUGUUGCUGUCCCCUGGCCAAGGGGCAGUGUGGGCACAGGGAGAAGCCAGAAUCAAGUUAGGGUGCUGUUGUGCAGCUGUUGGGGAGGGAUGGAGCAGGCAGCCUCCCCCGCAGGGAUUAUCCAUCCCUCUCUUGUCCUCUGAGAACAGCGGGGCUUGUGGGCCCCCAGCUUGGGGCCUCCACUCCUCCCUCCAGGGGCAGGGAGCAUCUCAUGUGCUGCAAGAUGGUGGUUUUGUCCCUAACUUCUGCUCCAGAUUGACUUGGUCUUACCAUCAGAGAAAUGGGGCAAAUGGCCAACCAGGAAUGGGUGCGUUCCCAGGACGGGGAGGGCCGCUUUGAUAAAAAUCAAAUCAGAUUGUGUGGGGGCAGCUGAUCUCGAAGCUUAAUGAGCCAGUGGGAAAAUGCAGUUCAGCUGCAGCCAGACUGGUGGAAAGACCCGGGAAAGAACCACUGCGUCUAGACCAGCACAGGAGCCGCUGAAGGCUCAAAAAGCGGAGGGGUUGCCUGAAAAACUGAGUUUUAAAUUUUGUUUAAUUUCAAUUAAUGUAAGUGACUAUUUCAGGUAUGUGAUUUUUUUUAGAUAUAUGAUUUAGUUAUUAGAAAACAAAUUUGCUUACAGUCAGCUAUUGAUGUGAAUCUAGUUUUUCGACUGUCAAUUUUCUGAAAUCCAAGUACAGACCGAAUAUCUCUGAUACACGUGGGGUUGCAGGUAUAAAACUUCAAAUCAAAAUUUGAAUACAGCAUGAAAAAAUGCGAACAAUAUUAACUUUUCUAUUUAUUGUAUGUUGAAGCAACAGUUCAGGUAUGUUUUGGGUUAAG
Long non-coding RNA from Cavia porcellus (domestic guinea pig), 3870 nucleotides. RefSeq lists it as uncharacterized. The record is from RefSeq and is a predicted model, not a curated record. Lineage: Eukaryota; Metazoa; Chordata; Mammalia; Rodentia; Caviidae. The transcript has 5 exons.